UACGGGGGGGGCAAGCGUUGUUCGGAAUUACUGGGCGUAAAGGGCUCGUAGGCGGCCAACUAAGUCCGACGUGAAAUCCCUCGGCUUAACCGGGGAACUGCGUCUGAUACUGGAUGGCUUGAGUUUGGGAGAGGGAUGCGGAAUUCCAGGUGUAGCGGUGAAAUGCGUAGAUAUCUGGAGGAACACCGGUGGCGAAGGCGGCAUCCUGGACCAACACUGACGCUGAGUGAGCGAAAGCCAGGGGAGCAAACGGG
This 254-nucleotide ribosomal RNA is filed under the name uncultured bacterium. RNAcentral describes it as "partial 16S ribosomal RNA". It matches the Rfam family "Bacterial small subunit ribosomal RNA", at positions 524 to 776 of the family's 1533-position model. The record is from RNAcentral.